Molecule: long non-coding RNA, 321 nt
Filed under: Phasianus colchicus (ring-necked pheasant)
Lineage: Eukaryota; Metazoa; Chordata; Aves; Galliformes; Phasianidae
Description: lncRNA (ENSPCLG00000012367.1)
Source: RNAcentral
GCAAUCAGCACCAAAUUAUCCUGACAUCUGAAAAAUUCUAUCUACUAUAUUUGGUUUAUUGUUGAGUCUUUAUUUAUUACAGAAUGACAGUUUUUAUUUACCUUUCACUUUUAGACCACUUAUAACAAAAUGCUACAGGAAAACUUGUUUUUGAAAUACACCAUAAUUAAAAGUCCUUCUUGUCCUUUUGUCACCCUACUGGAAAUCCAACAAAAGAGGUCUCAGAGAGGCAAGAUGGAGAUGGAGGGAAAUGUUGAGACCCAUACAGUGAGAAAGCAGAGAGAAUGCAGAACUCACACACUUUGUACUGCUUGCUCCUGA